Molecule: ribosomal RNA, 468 nt
Filed under: uncultured bacterium
Lineage: Bacteria
Description: partial 16S ribosomal RNA
Rfam family: Bacterial small subunit ribosomal RNA
Source: RNAcentral
GACGAACGCUGGCGGCGUGCUUAACACAUGCAAGUCGAACGGAAAGGCCCUGCUUUUGUGGGGUGCUCGAGUGGCGAACGGGUGAGUAACACGUGAGUAACCUGCCCUUGACUUUGGGAUAACUUCAGGAAACUGGGGCUAAUACCGGAUAGGAGCUCCUGCUGCAUGGUGGGGGUUGGAAAGUUUCGGCGGUUGGGGAUGGACUCGCGGCUUAUCAGCUUGUUGGUGGGGUAGUGGCAUACCAAGGCUUUGACGGGUAGCCUGCCUGAGAGGGUGACCGGCCACCUUGGGACUGAGAUACGGCCCAGAGUCCUACGGGAGGCAGCAGUGGGGAAUAUUGCACAAUGGGCGGAAGCCUGAUGCAGAAGCGCCGCGUGCGGGAUGACGGCCUUCGGGUUGUAAACCGCUUUCGCCUGUGACGAAGCGUGAGUGACGGUAAUGGGUAAAGAAGCACCGGCUAACUACGUG